This is a small nuclear RNA of Chelonus insularis, 121 nucleotides long. RefSeq annotates it as U4atac minor spliceosomal RNA. Lineage: Eukaryota; Metazoa; Arthropoda; Insecta; Hymenoptera; Braconidae. The transcript has a single exon. The record is from RefSeq and is a predicted model, not a curated record.
GCUGUCCUUGUCUUUGGGGAGCAUAGUAUUCAAUGAGCGUUUAGUGAGGGUACUGAUGCUGAAACCAUGACAAUUAUAAAACCCGCAUCCAUGAUGAUCAUGUGAUGCAAUUUUUGAAAAG